CUUUCCACAUGAACGAGCUGCGCGGAAAUGAGCCGCACGGAAAUCCGCGCUAGAGAACGUGUGUGCACUUAUACUCUGUGCGGCAUCUGCUCCCAAACUGCAGGGGGCAGUGUAUCGCAAACACACGUCUACCUGGUCUACUCUGGUACUUAGCUAGAGUAGAAGAAGUCUGCCAUUGUUUACACCACGUGUAAGUGCACGUAUUUCUAGACUUCAGCUACGAGUAGGUCCUCUGCCAUGUUUUUCUGCGCGGCUCCGUUAGAAAAAUGUGGAGGUGCACAGCGCGGAAAUUUUCCGCGUGAGAACGGCCGCUCGAGGGGGCGUGGCUGCUAAAAUGACGCAAUUUUUCGGCAGGGAGCCGCACGGACCUCGCGGACGCGGAAAGCAUAAAACAGGCUUUAAUGUCAUCAGUCGGGCUGAUUCUGUGCUGUGGUGAGAGCGGAAGCCAGAUGUAAAGUUUCUCAGAGAUGCAGAUUUCAUUCAGAGUGAAAGUAGCAGUUCCUCCUGAAGGUCAGAGAUUGCAGCAUCCGAGGGCCUCUUCAAAAGAAGACGUAGUUGAUGAAGGCUUUCUGGAGCAGGACCAGAAAGACCACGACCAAGCAGCCUUGAGAUCUUAGGCAGCGUCUCCCUCAGACCAAAGAACUACAGACUCUUCACAACCUGCUCAAACUCUUGGUACAGGACCUCACCACACGGGUCAAGAAGGUUUCCAUCUCAUUUCUACUCUGAAGCUCACCUUCUCCUGCUCAAACUGCUGACAAAUGUUUCUGCUGCUCUAAAGUCUGGUCUCUAGAACUUCCUAAAAACUCUCAAAGUCUCUUCUGCUGCAGGUUGCUUUGUAGAACUGUUCCAGAAAACCUCACUAAACCACAUGGAGGGGCCUCAAGAUAGUCGUCCAAAUGAAACCGUACAAAAACCAAACUAGCACAACCCAAACACUAAAGUCUCCUGCAGCCUACCAGAGAACCUCUGAGAACAGAGAAUCAGGACAGGAACUCUUACCUUCUGGACAACCAAGAAUACAGAAUGUGUCUGACCAAAAACCUCUGAAGACUCACUACAGCCAAGAUAAAGACACAACUCAGCUGCAGCAAAUCCACUAAUAACAGCACACAUUAGCACCUUGUGGUAACUGUGGCUAAAGAACCACAUUUACCAAGACAACUAUCCAGUACAAAGCCCUAAAACACACCAAGAAACACAUUAAAGACGAUUUUACUGCUGGAAGCUGCAAGCCCACACCUAUAGAACAAACUAAAGCAACAGAGCCAAACCCGGUUCAGUGGUGAAGAGAAUCUGAAGAAAUGUUUGUCUGCAGCUAAAUAAAGCAGGAAGACACUGAGCUGCUCAGGUGUUCCUGAUAACACCAAGCAGCCACCCGGACAGCCAAUAGGAACACAGCUUCCUGGAAGUCCAGAGGGCUGGCUUAGUCAAGGAAAUUUAGUUUAAAGUUGAAGCAGAAAGUUAACAAAGAAAGUUGAAAACCACCUUCUGAUCCUUGAAAUCUCUGAGUUUUCACACAAAGAACACCUGAACAUGUCAAACUGGUUCCAUAGUAGAACCAUCAUUGUAAAAACAACAUAGUAUGGUGUGUUGCUCAAAAAACAUUAGGACCCAGCUGUCUAGGGUCGCAGAGGAGCAACACAAAAACAGGACAAACGCUGGUUUCCAGGGGGAUAGGAGGAUAUUUAUUUGAAAGAGGAAGUUUACAACAACACAUGUGAGCAGAAAAAUCACAAAGUCUGUCUUUAGUUCAGCUGAAAAUAUUAGAUGAAGAAUAAUUAAGGCUCUCAUGUAGAAGUCCACCUUAUUUUGGAUCCUUGUGGAGAGUUUAAUCUUAGAGUUUGUAAAGCUGUUGAGUUUUUAGAGUCACAUCGAUUGUUUUGACAUUUAAUAACCGAGUCCUGAAAUAAAAUUACAGUUGUGGAUUUCUGUCAUUUAGUCUGGACUAAACAAAUAACACUAGCAUAAAUCUCAAACGUCAUUAUGAGGAGUCUGGAUUGAGGUUUCUCACUUGAUAAUGAUCAAAACAUGAUAUUUAGGUUGGUUUAAAGGAAUAUUCCACCUUAAAUCUUUGAAUGUUGACCUAAAAGGUUGGUUUCAGGAAGUAUUCCACCUACAAGGUCCUCACACAUCCACCUUAAAGGAACAUUCCACCAAAAAUCCUUGGACAUGCACCUAAAAUGUUGCUUUAACCAAGUAUUCCAUCCAAAAUCCUGAAAGAGACCUGAGGGGCUGGUUAAAAGGAAUAUUCCACCUAAAACCUCAAAUAUAGACCCCAAAGGGUGGUUUAGAAAAAAUCCUUCAAUGUAGACCAAAAAAGUUAGUAUGGAGGAAUAUUCCACCUGAAAUGUAGACCUGAGAAGUUGGUUUGGAAGAAUAUACCAUCCUAAACAUCCUUAAAUGUAGACUAAAAGACGGUUUGGAAGAAAAUUCCACCUGAAGUCCUCCAAUGUAGACCUAAAAAGUGAGUUUAAUGGUAUAUUCCACCUAAAAUUCACUACUGUAGACCUUGAAGGUUGGUCUGAUGGUAUAUUCCACCCAACAUCCUUGAACAUAAACUUAAAAAGUUCGUUCAAAGGAAUAUUCCACCUAAAAUCCUUCAAUGUAGACCAAAAAGUCGUGGUGUAAAGGAGUAUUCCACCUUAAAUGUAGACCUAAAGGAUGGUUUGGAGUAAUAUUCUACUCUAAAAUCUUCCAAUGUAGACCUAAAAGGUUGAUCUGAUGGUAUAUUCUACCCAACAUCCUGGAACAUUUACCUAAAAGGUUGGUUUAAUGGUAUAUUCCCAGAAGAACCCUUGAACAUUGGGCUUAAUGGUAUAUUCCACCCAAAAUACUUGUACAUAUACCAAGAAGUCAGUGUAAAGGAAAUGUAGACCUAAAAGGAUUGUUUAAAGGAAUAUUUAAAUGAUCAUUUUCAUUAUUUAAUAAUCUGUUAUCAGUCAGAACCCUGGCAAACUUAUUUUCUUCAGUUUUUUUUCGUGGAAGUCACAAAUAAAGGAGCUCUUGGUUUUUCCCAGCGUUACUGAGUCCAAAGCUGCUGUUUCAACACAGAACGUUCACAUGCAUCCACAAACCUCUCAGCACUCAAACACCCACAGACAGGAGGCUGGCUGGACCGAGGCUCGGCGGCGUCCUCAGACCCACAAGUCGGGGAGUUGCUAAACUUGUUGGUCCGGUUUGAAGGCCUCCGUGUGGUCCAGUAGAAGUCCAUGUAGUCGGUGUUGGCUUUGAACCGCAGCGACUGGCCAUCAUCAGGUGGACCAGCUCGUCCUCGUAGGGCUCCUCCUGUAGCCUUGAGGGAACCACAGGAACAUUCAGUAGCUGUUGGAGUUCUUCCUGUCAGGCUCGUGGUAGAACGGCUCUGAACAAUCUUGUACUUGUCU
Molecule: long non-coding RNA, 3386 nt
Organism: Amphiprion ocellaris (clown anemonefish)
Lineage: Eukaryota; Metazoa; Chordata; Actinopteri; Pomacentridae
Source: Ensembl